This 166-nucleotide microRNA precursor is filed under the name Oryza brachyantha (malo sina). Its description in RNAcentral is "MIR812 microRNA precursor family". It matches the Rfam family "MIR812 microRNA precursor family", at positions 27 to 187 of the family's 205-position model. Lineage: Eukaryota; Viridiplantae; Streptophyta; Magnoliopsida; Poales; Poaceae. The record is from Rfam by way of RNAcentral.
UACAAUGUGUUUUGACUCUUCGUCUUAUUUAAAAUUUUUUAUAAUUAAUAUUUUUAUUUUUACUAGAUGAUAAAAUAUAAAUAGUACUUUAUACGUGACUAAUUUUUUAAAGUUUUUUUUAUAAAUUUUUCAAAUAAGAUGAAUGAUCAAACGUUGGACAUGAAAA